UGCACAGGCGAAGAUUCCCUUCACAUGGUUC
RNAcentral lists this non-coding RNA (31 nucleotides) under Rattus norvegicus (Norway rat). The record is from RNAcentral. Lineage: Eukaryota; Metazoa; Chordata; Mammalia; Rodentia; Muridae.